UACGUAGGGUGCGAGCGUUGUCCGGAAUUAUUGGGCGUAAAGAGCUUGCUAGAGCGGUCUGUCGCGUCUGCUGUGAAAAUCCAGGGCUCAACCCUGGACCUGCAGUGGGUACGGGCAGACUAGAGUGCGGUAGGGGAGAUCGGAAUUCCUGGUGUAGCGGUGAAAUGCGCAGAUAUCGGGAGGAACACCUGUGGCGAAGGCGGCUUUCUGGGCCUUACCUGACGCUGAGACGCGAAAGCGUGGGGAGCGAACCGG
RNAcentral lists this ribosomal RNA (255 nucleotides) under uncultured bacterium. RNAcentral describes it as "partial 16S ribosomal RNA". It matches the Rfam family "Bacterial small subunit ribosomal RNA", at positions 524 to 776 of the family's 1533-position model. The record is from RNAcentral.